This 1120-nucleotide ribosomal RNA is filed under the name Protocruzia adhaerens. RNAcentral describes it as "Protocruzia adherens partial Bacterial large subunit ribosomal RNA". It matches the Rfam family "Bacterial large subunit ribosomal RNA", at positions 1602 to 2809 of the family's 2925-position model. The record is from RNAcentral. Lineage: Eukaryota; Ciliophora; Spirotrichea.
UACAUGCCUGGAAAAAAAAUAAUAAAAAUUUAAACCGUACCCGAAACUAACACCGGUGGGUGGAUAAAAAUUAUUAAGAUGAUCGAAAAAAAAACAUUGAAGGAACUCGGCAAAAUGCUUUUGUAACUUAGGGAGAAAAAAGACUUGCAAAACAAGUAGCAUAAAAUAGAAGGUAACGACUGUUUAAUAAAAACACAGGAUUCUGCUAAAUUGAAAAAUAAUGAAUAGAAUCUGACACCUGCCCGGUGCUGUAAAGUAAAAAUACACAGGUUUAAGCUAGUGUAAUAAACUCCAGUAAACGGCGGCUGUAACUCUGACGGUCCGAAGGUAGCGAAAUUCCUUGGCGGGUAAGUUCCGUCCUGCAUGAAUGGUGUAACGAUUGCCUUACUGUCUCCAAUGUUUAUUCGGUGAAGUUGAAGUUGUCGUGAAGAUGCGAUAUAUACGUAGUUAGACGGAAAGACCCUAUGCACCUUUACUAUAAUCAUAAAAAGCUUUUAUAACUAAAGUAUAGUAUAAUAGUGAAAGCCUAUACUGUUUUUAGUAAUAAAAGAGUACACUAAAAUGCUUAAUAAAUGUUUGCAUUAUAUAUUUAUGACUGGUAGUUUGACUGGGGCGGUCACUUCCCAAAAAGUAACGGAAGUAAUCAUAAGGUUAAUUUGUUUUUAAUUUAUAAAGUUAACCUGAUUUAUUAACUCACAAGUUUAUGAAGGAUAAUUUAAUUGUCUGAAAUAAUGAUCCGAUAUAUUUAAGUAAGAGUAGUAUGUCGCUAAAUGGAUACAAGGUACGCUAGGGAUAACAGGCUUAUAAAUUCUGAAAGUCCUUAUUAAAGAAUUUGUUUGGCACCUCGAUGUCGACUCAUCAUAUCCUAGCGGUGCACACGCUGCUAAGGGUUCGGCUGUUCGCCGAUUAAAAUGGUACGUGAGUUGGGUUUAGAACGUCGUGAGACAGUUUGGUCCCUAUCUUCUACGUUAUGGAAAUAAAAAAAAAUAUUAACUCUAGUACGAGAGGACCGAGAAAAUAUUACCAAGUGUUAACCAAUUAUUUUAGUAGAGUAAGUUGGAAAGCGAAGUAAUUAAAGAUAACUAUUGAAACCAUAUAAAUAGGAAGCUUAUUUUUUUUU